RNAcentral lists this ribosomal RNA (278 nucleotides) under uncultured bacterium. Its description in RNAcentral is "partial 16S ribosomal RNA". It matches the Rfam family "Bacterial small subunit ribosomal RNA", at positions 15 to 298 of the family's 1533-position model. The record is from RNAcentral.
GAUAUGCUCAGGAUGAACGCUGGCGGCGCGCCUAACACAUGCAAGUCGAACGGCACCCCUCUCCGGAGGGAAGCGAGUGGCGAACGGCUGAGUAACACGUGGAGAACCUGCCCCCUCCCCCGGGAUAGCCGCCCGAAAGGACGGGUAAUACCGGAUACCCCCGGGCGCCGCAUGGCGCCCGGGCUAAAGCCCCGACGGGAGGGGAUGGCUCCGCGGCCCAUCAGGUAGACGGCGGGGUGACGGCCCACCGUGCCGACAACGGGUAGCCGGGUUGAGAG